This 585-nucleotide ribosomal RNA is filed under the name uncultured bacterium. RNAcentral describes it as "partial 16S ribosomal RNA". It matches the Rfam family "Bacterial small subunit ribosomal RNA", at positions 355 to 1376 of the family's 1533-position model. The record is from RNAcentral.
UGGGGAAUUUUGGACAAUGGGCGAAAGCCUGAUCCAGCAAUGCCGCGUGUGUGAAGAAGGCCUUCGGGUUGUAAAGCACUUUUGUCCGGAAAGAAAUCCUUGGCUCUAAUACAGUCGGGGGAUGACGGUACCGGAAGAAUAAGCACCGGCUAACUACGUGCCAGCAGCCGCGGUAAUACGUAGGGUGCAAGCGUUAAUCGGAAUUACUGGGCGUAAAGCGUGCGCAGGCGGUUUGCUAAGACCGAUGUGAAAUCCCCGGGCUCAACCUGGGAACUGCAUUGGUGACUGGCAGGCUAGAGUAUGGCAGAGGGGGGUGGAAUUCCACGUGUAGCAGUGAAAUGCGUAGAGAUGUGGAGGAAUACCGAUGGCGAAGGCAGCCCCCUGGGCCAAUACUGACGCUCAUGCACGAAAGCGUGGGGAGCAAACAGGAUUAGAUACCCUGGUAGUCCACGCCCUAAACGAUGUCACUAGUUGUUGGGGAUUCAUUUCCUUAGUAACGUAGCUAACGCGUGGAGUUGACCGCCUGGGGAGUACGGUCGCAAGAUUAAAACUCAAAUGAAUUGACGGGGUCAUAGCUGUUUCCUG